Non-coding RNA from Vicugna pacos (alpaca), 12491 nucleotides. The record is from RefSeq and is a predicted model, not a curated record. Lineage: Eukaryota; Metazoa; Chordata; Mammalia; Artiodactyla; Camelidae.
UAAACCGUCACUUCCGCCCGGAAGUGCGUGUGCGAGGCGGCUUUUCCCGGGGAUUGGGAAGACCCCGGCAACGUGCUCGCUCUUGUCUGGGAGGCGCACUCUUGUCCGAGAGAUGCACUCUCGUCGCCGAGGUGUGGCGGGUCCCCGGCCCGCAGGGUGACGCUGGGCCGCAGCUGGGCCGUCAUGAAGCUCCGCGGGCCCGAACUUCAAGGACCGCUCCUCGCACUGCAGCUGGGGCUUGGACGGAGGAGACCGAACGCAGACACCACAGUCGGGGGUUUCCACCGAACCGGAGAGCUCUCCAGCCCCCGGCGAUUGGAUGAAGCCUUGCAACCUUGGUUUUCGCCUCCUCGUCGGUGACGGUAUUCGGAGUGACAUCAGUUUGGGGGAUCCAGGGAGCAACAGCCCAGCUGGGGUGACGUCAGUAAGUGCCUGGACAACAGAAGGGAGCCAUCCUAGCUGAGAAGACAUGUGACAAAAGGCCAGACACAUGAGAGGAGGCUUCAGAGGAGGUGGGGACCUCAAGGCUUGGGACCAAACUGGAGACCACCACGGCGACAGGUGAGUUUCCUGGAAGAUUUGUGUAUGCUGCACGACGACGGUGACUCCUGACGGGUGGCACUUGUGAGGGUUCGGUAAAGCUCGUAGGAGCACAGUGGACCAGUUAGCUGUGCCUUUGUGAGUGUUAGUUACCCUUUUCCCUCGGAUUUUCAGUGCAUUUUCACAGCAUAUCCAGCUGGGAACCUCUAGGGGUCUGCGGCGUCUGAAAGUUCUGGGGUCUUUACAGAUGCUGCUUCCAACAAGAAGAGGCCUGCCUGCCUCAGGGUGAGCGAAACAGCCCCAGCGCCGAGGCAGGGGUCUGCUCCAGGCUCUUGACUUUUUAGCGUUUUAGUUUUCCUGUUGGGGCCACUCACAAGGGCAUACAGUUCACAGGACGGUGACCUGCACUCCCCCGUGUGUGCUUGUCUUUAGAGGGAGAGGCUGCAGUAAUUGCCUAAAUGAACCCGUUGUACUGAGAUGGGGUGUGUCGGGGAAAGCGUACAUGUGGGUAUUUCUGGAAUAAAGAGCUUUUGUGCCCGGGCGCUGCCUUGUUCUUCUACGUGGUGUUUCUCUGGAGUGCGGGUGUCGGCUUCCUCGCUGUGGCCGUGGGCGGGUCCUUGUCUGUCUGUCUCCAUGUCAGUCUGGUCAAGCAGCCCCGGGGCUCCGUGUCUGCGGACUGUCCUCCAGGAGUUGAUCCAGCCUUUGGUUUGCUGAGUUAAUGGGAAGCAUUAGCCGUGGGUCCCUCUGGGCAGUAGCGUGUCAUUUGUAGCAUGGAAGAUGUUAGCGAAUGAAGUUCACGUUGACGGAGCCGUUGUGAUUUUUGAGGAUGUUUUUGGACUCUGACAGCGAACAAGGACCAUGCCUUCGUGUCCCCUGGGAGUCCCCUUGGGUUGGUCUGGGACUUCCUAGGACAGAAGAGCCUGCCAGGAGCAGGGAAGGGGAUGCUGAGAAGAGAGUGGUUGUUCCCGGGCAGAGAGGCUUCGUCUUCCCCGGAAGCCCACGCAUCCCCGGGUUACCUGCUUCUCUUUGCGUCCUGUCCUGCUUCCUGCUGCUGGGUCUGAACAUUGACUGUCCGGCCCUUGUCUGUGACUGCAGCACAGGGCGUGAGUGUUCUUGGUUUCACACAGUGGGUGUGCCGGGUGCCUGAGUGGGUGAUGAACGGAGCCCUCAAACCCAUGGGAGGAGACACGUGAGAACAUUUCAUGGAGCCAGUGGAUUCCUGGGUGUGGCUCCUGGAAUGUUUCCCAGCGACUCUGGCUCCUGCGGCUCCAGCCCCCUCAUCGAGUCGACCCCAGCUGGUCACAGCGUGGUGAUGGCAUGCUUGUUUUCCCCAGAGUGCGUGGUAGGCUGUGUGCACCGGGGAUGGGCCUCAGCGCUUACGACGUUCCUCUGGAUUGUGUAAGAGAGGGUUGAAGCAGGCAGGAGUCCAGACUUUCAAAAAGAUGGUGUUUUGAUAGUAGCAGUGGAUAAUCAAGCGUGUGAACUCUUAAGAAGUUGUUUUUAACGGCCCAAAGCAGAAAACUUAAAAAUUGAGCCAAAGGACAGUUGCCAGGUCAAGAUUUUGAACUUCUUUCUUUGUCCACUAGGGGGUGGAAUCCUACACCAGACUGCUGUAUUCUCUUGUAACUUGGUACAGAGUUUUCUGGGUUUGGGGGUUUUUGUUUCUUUGUUUUGUUUUGUUUUAAUUUAGCCAAGCUCUUAUUUCACCAGAAAAUUAUGCAGAAAGUUAAUCUGCAGGGUUGUGCUCUUAGGAAUCUGCUAGGGUGUCCCAGCUGCAGGCAGUUUCUGGGACAUGCUUAUCAUGUCUUGGACCAGUUGAACCAAACUCGGUCAUAGGACACGGCUGGCACUUGGAGACCAGAGCACAUUCUAAUGCAGCUUUCUGUCCAGAGUCACUCCCAGUGACAACAGGUGGUUCUACUCAGCAUGAAAGGUUUUCUUUGAUGAGAAAUCCAGUGCAACACAUACUAGUGUUUGAGGUCUCAGACGGUGUAUUAAGGGUUUAAAAGCAUCUCUGACCAGAACGUUGCUCAUACUUGAAAUUAAAAGGGACAGAUUAAGACUGAAAGACGUUUGUACAAAACCAGUGUGUUUCAGAUUGUUGAUUACUAUCUGCUAGAAAAGUGCCCUUGAUUUGGCGGGGGAGAAGGAAUCACAACUCUGGAGGUGUGAUUUUAAGUAGAGUAUUGCACAUUUGGUUUAUGAACCUGGUUGACAGCUUUCUGAUGGAUUAAACAGAUGUUGGCCAAGUGAGGCCAAGACAGGGAGCAAAGCAGAGGCAUCUUGUCCUCAGGGAGCUAACGUUCCAGUGCCCGGGAGACAGAAAUCAUUAGAGUUGUGGGAUAUCACAAUUGUGCUGGGGAAAAAAAAGGGAACUGGGGUAGGAAGGAGUGGGGUAUGAGGUUUGCAAUUUUAGUUAGGGUGGCUGGGAAGGGCCUGGAUCUUUAAUUUAGCAAAAUCCUGAAAUAGGGAGUAAGUCAUGUGACACCCUGGAACAGCAUCCCAAGCAGAGGGAACAGCCAGUGAAAAGGCAGCAGAAGCAGCCAGAAUAAUAGACCAUGAGCAAGAACGGCUUAUGAGGAGGACUGAAGCGGCCUGGGGAUCAGGUCUUGCAGAAUCUUGUAGGGAAUUGUGGGACUUUGGCUUUUACUCAGAGUAGUGGACCAUUUUCCCCCCCUAAUAAAGUAGUUAACGUUAGAAGUAUUUCCUGUUCUUGUGCUAAGAAAUUUGCACAUUGAGCUGACCCCAGCUCUGUGCAUUGGGAGCAUUACUUUUCCCCUUGGCAGCUGGUGGCAUCUCUCACUCUUGGCUCUGUUGAACUGUAACUUCCAUGUCCUGAGAUGAGUGACACGGCAAAUGUUUAGAUAUGACAAGUAAAGUUCUGGGACAAAUGACCCUCUUCACACAUGAAGGCCCUGUGCCCUUCACCUCGUAGACGAAGCCAGAGGUUGCUCGAAUGUCUGCCUGUCUCAGCGGCAAGGAUGGGUCCCUGUCCGCCUGUGCUCACCUCCACCGUAGGACUCCUCCUGUUUUAUGAUUGUUUUCUUGUCUGUUUCCCCCUGGGAGGAACUGUGUACUUGUCUUUUCAACAGAGUAGAUAAUGUGUCAUUUAAAUCGUUACAUUACCAUCAGGAGGACUACACGAAGUACAUUCCCCUGUAAUCUUGACAAUGUACAGGCCUGUUGGGGUUGGAAACACAUAACAAAUGCAUUGAAAACAAUUAGUCAUUCUGAUGUUUUUUUUUUCACAUCAGUUUUGUGGCUCCAGCAGAAAACUAGGUCUUUGUUGCAAAUUUAAUUCAAGUGGAGCUAAGUCAGGGGGAGCUCGCGUGUCUCCAGUCUGUCAGCCGUGCAGUUGUGUGCCAGUUACACAACACAACGCUGCUUUAGAAGGGCAGCCGCCGUCAGCAGGACGUUUGGAUUACUGUAUGGAGUCCAUGUAAGACUCCUGUUUGCUGCCAUCCCUGCCGAGUCGAUUUCUUCCUAUCAAACGCCCAGCAUUUGUGCCCAUUUGUAAACUUUGACGGGUUGUCAUCUGUUAGGAUGAGUUACCGUGAUGAGUCUCUGGGAAAGCUCCCAUAAAUCCCCUUCGCUUGUGGGCCACCUUUGUUUCAAAUUACUUGCAAAUUAAUUGCCCCUUGGAAAGUUAAUGGGGGGAGAUAAAAAGAGGAGAUUAAGAAGUCAAAAUGACAAAGGUCUCGCUUCCUCUGGUCACGUUAGAUACGUGUAAACCCUGCUUGGUGUUUUUGUUCUUAGUUUUUUUUCCCUAAAGUAAUAGUGCAUUCAUUUUAAAAGUUGAUGGGAUGGGGAGGGUAUAGCUCAGUGGUAGAGCACUUACUUAGCAUGCACGAGGUCCCGGGUUUAAUCCUCAGUACCUCCAUUAUAAAAAACCUAAUUACCUUCCCCCCAAAUAAAAAAAAAUUUUUUUAAGUUGAUAGGACUCAAAGGCUGGCACUAAACAGCAGUUCCCCGCUUCCCACAGCCCUCCCCACAGGCAGGGUUUUGCACUGGUUCACUCCUCCCCCUGUUUCUGAAAAGCCCGUGUGUGUGCUGAUCUCUGGACUCCCCACCACCCCCUCUAGUCCUUGCCUGUUGCCUGCCUUCCCGGUGGAUCCGGGCUGAGUGCUCACAACCUGCCCCCUGCUUCCAUCCUCUGCUGCAGUCACCCUGUAUCUUUUCUGUUUCCAUCAUUGAGAGGCGACCCUGUUGCGAAUGUGCGGAAGGGCUCUGCGUGGCCUUUUUACUUUCUCCCCUCAUUGACAUUUCGCGUCUUUGGCUGCGCUUUGUUUGAACCUCUUGCCAAUAAUUCUUCCCACGUUUAUGGUAGCCUCUCAGCAUAACUUGACACGAGGUCAACCCCAUUAAUAAUCUAUCCAUUCUAUUUUUGUAGGUGAAUAGAAGACUUUCCAGAGAAUUUCAUGAUGGAUAUAUGUUACAAAGUUUUGUUGCAAUCUUGUACACAAGGGGAGAGGCCCCUGAGGGCCAAUUUAGUUCAUUUUUAGGUAGGGAUUUUUUUAAAAUACCAUUUUUAGGCUAAAUACGAAAAGAAACACUGGCUAAAGGCUCUGACAGUCAGCUGGGUGGAUAGGUAACCAGUUUCCCAGAUUACUCUUUAUUAAUUUUAUCAGGGAUGCCAAUCUCUUCCCAGAAGGAGGAUAUGAAUUAUAUCAGGCUAAGAGCCUCUGUUCCAAGCCUGAUUUAGGCCAGUUGUUUGGCUUUUUUGUUUUGUUUUGUUCUUUUUAGAGUCCCUCUUUUUGGCAGGGACAUCCUACCUGUUUAAGUUAAAUACCUGACUUGGUCAAGAAGGCCCAUCCAGUUGCACUUUUGUUCUAGGAACAAAGAUGAGAGUGUUGCCUGGGUCAGCGCUUCCCAAACAAUGCGGGCCAGUCCCCUGCGGGUUUGUCAGAUGAGAUUCUGGGGCCGCAGGUCUGGGGCGGGCCUGGACCCCUGCCUUUCUCUCCAGCGCCCAGGUGCUGCUGGUCUGGGCACCACACCUUGAGGAGGGAGGGAGGGCAUUGUUAGUCGCUGUGUACAUUUCUCACGGAUGGCGGGGUGAAGUGGAGGCUUACCUUGUACCACACACGCACAGUUGAUUCCUCGCGGUAUUUAUACUCACUGACCUUAUUCCUUUGGGCCAGCAUCUGUAUCGGGGAAGGCUCUCUCAGCAUCACCCCUAGGGGCAACGAUUCUUGUAGUCUGUGCACCUGGGCCUCUGCGGCGGAAUGGUAGCCGGGUCCCUGGAGGCCUUCCUACUUCAGUGGGUGCAGCAGAAGACAGCGAUAAACACUCAAGGACGCCCUUGCUCUUUGCUUUAAAACUCUGUAGUCACGUGUUGAGGAAACAGAAUUAAAAACAAAAUCUCCCAACUGUCAAAAACCUGAGCUAGACAGUAGUUAAAGUGGUAAAAAGCCAAUUUUGUUCAGGAUUCUUGCAGUAGUGUGGGGGAGCAAAACUUGCCAACCGAAAAAGCGUCUCUUCGACAUGCGUGUUACUUCCAGCUGGAAACAAUCAAGGCCCAAGAUCUGACAGAGCCUUUGACCUUCCCUCUAACAGCCUGAAGCAUGUGGGCGGAGGACCUGUUGCGGGAAGGGAGCAUCACUGUAGAUCACUAGUGUGUGAACCAGGGGUGGAGACAGGGAGGACCCUGCAAAGUCUGUUGAAGUUCCUCGCUGUGUUCUCUGUCUCCGCAGGGCCCAACCAGCAUUUGCUUUACCAUCUCCAAGCCAGUUGCCUUCCUCUCCUUUAGGGUCCCAGGCUGCCACCCCACCCCUUUUGUCUUCAGCCGAAGAUGGUGUUUAAGGUGAGGGUUUCGGCUGUUCCGACGAGUUGCUCGGUUUCCCUGGGUCUCUGCGGUGCACAGAGGUACUGAAAGUUUUGUUGGAUUCUUCUCGUGUUCAUCUGUCUCGUGUCGGUUCUUCUGACUGGUCUAAGAAUUAAACUUAGAAGGGUAGAGGAAAAUUCCUUCCUCCUCGGCAGAGGAAGGGAGACCACAGUAAACACACGGCUGGGUUCAGUUCUGAGUACAGCGUGGGCACGCGGGAAUUCAGAGCCAGAGAGCAGGGUAGGGUUGGUGGAUGGAAAAUAACUCAGAGGAAACAUCAGGGGGACCGGGAGGGGGUUCUGGCUGCACUGACCUAACGGGAUUCUUGCUGAAGGCAGGGCAGGGGGCUCAGACUUCACCUGGGAUGGUGAAGGACAAGAAACCUAAUUAGACAUGGAGGGAGGUGAGUGGUUCUGGCUAAACUGACUCAGCAGAACCAGAUUUUACAGGGAAGUGCGCAGACGGGCCUCAGAGAAGGUCCAGGAGCCUGAGUAACGUGUGACCAAGCAAAGAAGCUUUGUCACAACCCAGAAAACAUCCCCACAAAGGUAGAAGAGAAGGAAAACAGUGCUGCUAUUGACUAGGCAUUCCUCCAGCACGUCAGGAGCGCCACAGGCCGCUGCCGACGGAAUUGCAAAGACAGAGAGCGGUCUUGCCCUUUGAAAGAGCUAAGUGGCCGCAACCCUUCAUUUCAAGGACAUGGCUCUCUGGCCCUUGGACAAACGUUCCAGAGUCGUGGGAUUGCAAGAGACUUGUUCAGCCACGACAAAGAUCUACAGACAUUUGAGGACGAGGAAAUUCUGGAAGAAAAGGGAGUCAGGGUCAGGGGGUUCUCCUUGAUUUUCAACAGGGAGGACUACGCCUCUGAUUGUUCAUUUGCACCUGCCCUCGUCCACACUGGCUGAUUCCUGAAGCUAAAGUGUUAAGAGCAGCCUGCAGCGUUGAAGAAAGUGCGUAGAGUGCCUGCUUAGCAUGCACAAGGUUCUGGGUUCUAUACCUACUACCUCCAUUAAAAGUAAAUAAAUCUAAUUACCUCCCCCAAAAAAAGUAAGGGAAGGGGGAAGGGAGGGGAGGGAGGACAUUAGGGGGAAACAAAGGGCUUUUAGGAAAGAUAAAUGGGCCUUUAGAAGAAUAGAGGAGAGUUCUGGCAGUUUUAUGUCUGUCUGGGGGAUUCUGAUCUGCGCGUGGGUGUCUCCAGGGAUAGGGGUCUGCCUGCACAGGUCUGCAUCCCAGCCUGGGGAGGGGAUUUGUGACAGUUGAAUUCUCUUGGGAAGUUCUGCUUUUAGGCAUAUAAGGUGGGGCAGGGGGUCAGAAAAGAAAACAACAACAAAAUUUUCUGGAUCCCCUCAACCUGCCUUUUUUUUUAAUGAGUAGGUUCUUUUGUGGGUGGGGCGUAAUUGGGUUUCUUUAUUCAUUUAUUUAAUGGAGGUACUGGGAAUUGAACCCAGGACCUCAUGCAUGCUCGGCAUGCCCUCUGCCACUGAGCUGUACCCUCCUCCCAACCUGCAUUUUUUUUCUUUUCUAAUUUUGGUACAAAUCAAGGAACUCACCGUCUCCUUCCUUCCUGCCAAGUAAGAGGAAACUGAGAUGACGCAGACUGGCUCUAGGGGCAGGCGGGCUCAGGCUCCAGCCUGGCUCCUGAGCGUCCCCCUGCCCUGCCCCCAUCUCUCCAGCCGCUGACCCCCUCUCCCCACCAUGAAUCCUCGUGUGGUGACAGAGUUCCCCUCUGCACACCGGCAGUGGCUGUGUGUCACCUCCAGGAGCUCAUUCAUUCCCCCAGGCGUGUAAUUUCCGUCAGGGAGUUGCUUCCUUGAGAAAAUAGCUGCUCCACGUGGAGUUUCAGUGACUUCAAGACCCUGGGUCAGGGGCGAAGAGUCUCACUCAUCCAGCCGUGGCGCUGCGGACCCACAGGGAAGGGGCAGAGAGCGCUAAACCUAAAAGCUGCCACCUAAGGCCCGCUUAACCUGCACCUGGCGCUGGGCUCCAGGCUUCGCCUGCGUCUCCUCGGCUCCUCCAAACAGGUUUCUGAAGCCAGGCGGCUCUUUUCUUCGCUUUGUCGAGAGAGGGCCUGGGACACAGGGACUGUCACUGCCAGGGCCCCAUGGCCAGUGAGCGCUGGGGCUGGAACAUGGGCCCUGCCGACUCCCAGGGUGACACGCAGUGAAGGGAGGGUCUCAUUCAAAAAAAUUGUAGAAAAUAUUAACAGUAUUUUAAACAAAAUCUCUAUCAGGUAUUUCCAUUCUCUGUUACGUCCAGUUAAUGCAGACACAGGAGAAGGGGAGAGAUGGACGGAGCCCGGAGCACGGGAAGAGGGGAGCAAACGGAGGCUCCGCAGACCAGAGCAGAGCACCCUCCCCCACACGCGCGCGCCCGCACGCACGCCCGCGCACAUACGCACACGCACGAAGUGGAACAGAGGCCCAGAGGGAGGGACCCCAGCUUUAUAAAAUUAUUGUAGAACACGUGUCAUGUCAUUUUCCGAAUGACUUUUCAUCUCAGUUCUGCUAAAGCUGUGGUCAUCUCAAGAAAAAGUCCUGAUGACACAAGAGUAAAGGGUGUUUAGUCAGAUUUUCUAACUGCCUCUGAAAGGGAUGAGUGAAGCCAGCUGUGAAAGGUCUACUUUCUAGUUCCUUUCUGCAUUAUUUAUUUUUCAUGCCUGGCAUUGGGCGUCUAGACCAUUCCAUGUAUUCUUGUUUUUCUUUUUGUAGGCGGGAAGUAAUUAGGUAUUUUUUUUAAUGGAGGCACUGGGGAUUGAACCCAGGGCCUUGUGCGUGCUAAGCAUGGGCUCUACCACUGAGCCACACCCCCUCCCCCAUUCCAUAUAUUCUAAGUGGAACAAACUAAUACACAGGUGCUGAAUACCUGCUCAUUUCCAGCCAUCAGAGACCCCAGUUCACUACAGUUGAACAGACUGUUAACCACUACAUUAACUAAGUGCAUAAAAUGCUAAUAUCCUAAUAUGCACAUUUUGGGCAAGUGAUGUCAUAAUUUGUCAGCCUGCAAACAUUUUCCUUGGGAUAUGCUGGGCUCCCCUACCCCUCUCCCUUCCGGACUUCCUGUGCAAACAACACAAUAGCUGGAACCAACUGCAGGCCAACUGCUUCGGGUGUUAACUCUUGUCACGCUACCCGGAAUAGAGGUGUGGACUUGUUUACUUGGUUUCCCUGGGAACAGUCUGUCUUCCAAGGAAUACUGGGGAAGAGUUCCCGGCUGGAACACGAAGCUCUGAACGGCAGCUGGUCGACCUGGGGGAACGCGAGCUGACUGAGCUCGGGGAGGAAAUGCCUUCUUGGUUGCCGGGUGGCAGGGAGAGGAAGUGGCCCGGAUUGUGGGCUGUAAGAAAACAAUCCUUCCAGCGGGGCCCUCGGUGUCCUCCAGGAGGCCUGGGUCUUGCAGGGAUCUGUCACAGCAGUGGGCCGGGGAAGAGGGUGAUAGUGUGUGAAGACCGAGCCGGAAGGCUGUGUGUGUGGAUUGUCACCGCUGGCCCACCUGCCUCUGGGGGUGGAAGAAGCCCGCUGCAUCUUUGAUGUUUACGUCUCAAAAUUACCCGCAAACUGGAAGCAACCAGAGGCAAAAGGAAGAAACAGAUGAAACAAAGCAUGGUACAGCUGUACAGUGGAAAGUUGCUCAUAUUUUGAUGAGUGAAGGCAAAAAACUCACCAUAUGAUUCCACAAGUUUCCCUGGGAAUACACAUACUGCUUUUGAGAUGAGAAGAAUGAAAUACAGGCUGUCUAUAUGGAUGGUGUCUUUCUAAGCUGUGGUCAGUCUUCCAGCCAGGGCAGUCCUGGGCAGCUAACAGCAUACCUGAGCCUGAAGCGUUUUAAAAGAUGAAUCGAAAAGCAUCGAAGCCUUGAGCAGAUCACUGCCCUUGGAAAUUCUUCUGUUUCAGCCAGGCAUGCAGAGCAAUCUUACCUGGAAAGAAGCCAGCUUUCCUGCUUAAAAUUUCGAUCAAACCUUAGAGUUUAACAUUUGAAAUAAAAGGAUGCUUUACCAUGGACUUUUAAAAAUAUGUGAGACAAGUGAAUUACAUUUGGGAAACAGAGUUUUGGUCACUUGCCAGGAUACCAUCACAUUCCUUUCCCCAGGGGGGGCACCUGGUGUCUGUGAGAGGCGGCGCCACCCCCUGCCCACUUAACCGCGGAGAGUGGAGAGUGUGAAGUCAGCACUGGUCUCCCGUCUCACCCCUUUGCCUUCCCUGCCAGCCCUCCUUUCCUGGGUGCUUUCUGGGUCAUAGGCUGAAUGCACCCCAAAACGCAUCUGCCGUCACAGACUCAGCAAAGAACAAGUUAAGAAAUGCCAGCCGAGGCUGGAAACUUUGCCAGAUGCCCUUGUCGGGAGAAUCUGUCCUGCCUUGCCAAGCUUUUACCUUUUUUUUUUUUUUUACUACCAAAUGAAAAAGUGAUCUCUUUCAGACAUGGAAGAGACCUGGCAUGUCUCAACAGCUGACCAAGGUGGAAAGCACAAAUGCCAGGUGGGUAGGGCCACCAGAGAAUCAGAACAAAGUGCCACUGGGCCCCUUGGCCCAGCUGGAGUAUCUCAUUUACCCUGACACUUAGUAAUAUCAAAGGGGUCGUUCAGAUUUACCUCCUGUUUCUUGUACUGUUGUGGAGACAAGGUUGGGCUCUGCAGACUAAAGUCUUAGCCAAGCCUGUCACGUGCCUCCCAGUGUCUUUCCUGCAGUGACCCUCCCCUUAAUCUAUAGCCCCAGUCCUCUUGGGGUCACCAAGAGACCCCGUGCUUUUCUUGAGAUGAUGCCCGAUACUGCGCUAGGAUUGACGGAGAAGGUGUGGUCGGAGGGACCGGUUCUCGUGCCCCCAGCUCAGGUUAAUCCCGUCGGGGAAGAGGGAACAGGCCACAGAGGCUGUCAACGCCACAUCCUGACGUCAGGCAGAGGUGGCCACAAGGGACGGCAGCUUCAGACUCAGGCUCCUUAUGGGGAUUCCGCUGAGCCCCUCAAAGGGACCACAGUGUCCUGCCAGGACCAGGGAAUCCUCGGUCUCCACCCCUGAGGCACUUGAUGAGCGGCCUUCACACAGCACCAGUCAAGACUUCCAGCCACCAAGUGAGAGGUGACGACAGAUGCCUUGCAAGCUAGGGGCGCACUCAAGGUGUUUCAGAUACUCUCAUAACAUGACCUGAGAGAGAAUCUGUCUGCGGAAGAGAGCAGGUGUGCAGCUGAAGACAGGGGCACAGCAGGGUCUUUCCUGGAACACUGCUGUCCCACCAGCCCUGUCCUUUGUUCUGCUGGUUAUCCCCACACGAGUGCACGCACACACACGCCUUCCGUUCGAGGAAGGACCUUUGAUUCUCGGCACCCUUUCCUCCUGCUCGCUGGCUGGAGGUGGAAGAUGCAGCAUGAUAACAGCAAAGCUGUGUCCCCGACCAGGAGACGGGAGACCGCCUGCACCCACAUCCUGGUGGUUUUCCGGGAGCUGGCAGUUGCCAGUGAUCACGGAGGUGCCGUUCCCGCCCUGGACUUCACUCACAUGGGAAGGACGUAGGCUUCUAUCUUGUCAAGGCACUUUUAUGCUGUGGUUUUGAUCACUGGCAACCAAACCUGAUCCCAAUACAGGUCCCCACUUCCCCUUCCACAGCAUACUCAUCCCACGCCUCACGUAGCGCCGGAAACGUAGUGAGGGCUCCGUGCACACAUCUUAAAAGGACUGGAUCCUUCCACCUAACUUUGCAGCACGGUGCUCAGUACAGUUUCUUAUAGAUUUUGGCUACCUGCCCAAGGAAACGGAUUUAUUUUUAAUUGAAGUAUAGCUGAUUUACAAUGUUAUGUUAGUUUCUGGUGUACAGUGUAGUGAUUUGGUUAUAUAUAUACACACAGACACACACAUACACAUAUUCUUUUCCGCUAUAGGUUAUUAUAAGAGAUUGAAUAUAGAAAACUGAUUUAAAAACCAUCAAACCUACCAUAACUUAUGCAUCUAGACAAAUGUUGUUUCCUUCAAUUGAUUCACCCUGGGAAUCUGUUCAUGUAUCUUAAUGUCUACUUGAGACGUUUUCUUCUUUGUUUUAAUUGAAGUCUAGUCAGUUUAUAAUGUUGUGUCAGUUUCUGGUGCACAGCAUCAUGUUUCAGUCACACAUAUACUACAUAUAUUCCUUUUCAUAUUCCUUUUCAUU